AUGGUGGUGGUGGGUGGCCGGGUGGGUCUGUGUGAACCCUUUAAGGAGUAUUUCUUUGUUAACUCAUACCCUGUGGAUCUCAUGGAGGCAACUCUGGUGGCUUUCACAACUUGGAAGUUUCAUGUGCUCAUCUCUCAGAUGCAUGUCUUAAAAGUUGGGUCGCCUGAUGUGGGGUUCAAUCUGUUCGUUCAUCAGGGAGAAUCUCAGAGUUGUCAGUUCCCUCUUGAUUGUGGGUUGCUUCAUCAGGUUUAUCAUGAAAUUGUCUCAGCCUCUUCUCCUUGUUUCGAUGUGGGUUUUUUCCAUUUAUCUGUAUGGACAAAUCACUUACCUAGUUUUGGGGUUUCUUUCAGGGGAAAUAUUCUGUAUACAGCUGUAGAUUUGGUGUGUCCCUGGCAGGAGGUGUGCUCAGGAUCCUUUUAUGUCACCGUCUUAAACUGGACCCUGUCUCUUUUUGGAAACAUUUGUUGAGAUCCUUUUCUUGAGAGAAGCUGGAGGCAGCUCAUAGACCACUGCAGGGUCUACAGCCAGGACUGCUAUCUGUCAACAGAGAAACAUGAGGGGGUAAGACUCCUCCUGGGUCCCUUGGUGGAUCCCACAGUUCUCUCAAAGUCACUUUUGAUCACAGAUAGAUGGCAGUGUUUUGAUGAGGGAUGGGCACAGAUUUUGGUCUUAUGGCCAUGAUGCUAAUGUCAUCCCUCACCCUUCAAUAGUGUCAGCUAUAAUAUAUGCACAUUUGUGUGCAUAUAUAUAUUUGCAUAUGUAGGAGUAUUUAUAUCAGAUGAAGUCCCAGAAUGACUAGAUAAAAGGGUAUAUUUAGUUUUCAUUUUGACAGUAAAAUUGCUCUUUAUAAAGGUUUAUACUCUAUCCACAGUACAUGAGAACACCUAUUUCCCCAAAUCCUGAUUUGAUUUUAUCAGAGUAAAAUCAAAAUUUGAUUUUGUGAAAGAAGCCAUUCAUUGUGGAUCUACUUUGCAUUUAUCUUAUUAAAAGGAGGUAAUUUUCCCAUGUUUAUGAGAUACUUAGUUUCCUGUGAACUAUCUAUGUUCUCUGCAUUUUUCUGUUUCAGGUUUUGGUCUUUUAUUUAUUAGGUCACUGGAGCUCUGUCAUAUUUAGAAUACCUUUUUUUUUCCCUGUAAGAAACAAAAACUCAAGUUUUCAAAAGGGACACUCACUUCCAGCCCAUCCCACGAUGGACUAUAAAGGUUUCCAGAAUGGGGGUAUUUGUGCCUCAGUGCAGGCAAAAACCCUUGCAUGGAAAUAUGCUGAAAUCUCUCUACAGAUUCAGCUUUCCUUCCAGCUGAGUGAUUUGCAAGCUUUGGCUUUACUGGAAAAUGUUUUAGACUCAGAUGAGAAUUAAACAGGCAGAACUGCUGAAUGAGAGCCAAAAGUGAAGUGUCACCUGCCCCAACAGGGAAUCAAAGGGAUGCAAAGGGAUAAGCACAUAAGAAGACAAACCAGGGAGUAUCUUUUUAAAACAAAAUUACCUAGGGUACCCAAGUACAGAAAGCCAAAGAGGAGCUCUGCAUUCGGGGUCAAUGUGGAGUCCACGGAGUGAAACCAAGAAGGGGAGCCCUUGGCCCAAGGAAGAGCUGUCCUUGUCCUGGGGUUGGGGGCCAUUGGCGGUGGUGAGGUCUGUGUUGCUGGGCUGGGCAGCAUCAGGAAGCUUCUCUAGGGAGGUUUUCUGAAACUCGCCUUCCCUCCUGGCGUUUUUUCCCUAGCACAUGUGCUCCUUGGUACAGAAGGCCCUGUUUGAGGAGGAGGACCACAUCCAGAAGCUGCAGCAGAAGGUGGCCACCCUGGAGAAGGGGAACAAGCAGGUGUGAGAUCCAGUGAAGAAGGUCAAGGAGGUCCCAAGUGCACAAGAACGGCUGCUGCCUGGAGCUGCUAAACUGAAAGAGAAGCUGCCAGGUGGACUCCUGCCCAUCAGCACACAGGGGUGGGAGCUGGGGGAUGCCCCCUACCUGUGGGGAUAGUGAGGGGCCUUUCACAUGGAGCGAAAGGGGUUGUGGGUAGAUUUGUAGAUGAUAGUUUAUUAUUAUGCAUUGGGUAGCGUCUCGUUGGUGGGCAGGGCAAGUCUUGCUAUCUUCUUGGCUGCCAGACUCCUACCCUCCCUGACCUGGUCCCAGAUUCAAUGCUCAGUGUCAUGUGCUUGCCUGGGGCCUGUCACCGGCUUCCAAGAACAGCUUGGAAAGUGCACUUAUUAGGGGAAAAAAAAUUUUUUUUCAAAUCUCUAGAGGUACAAAAACUCAGGGAGUUCCACUUUUAUUAUUUCAGAAGAGAGGUAGAGUGGUCUCAGCACUGAGCUGCAGGACAAGUAUGAGUUUGGAGGCGUAAUCAGAAGCAAGUCGUGGAAGCUUCUGGUGUCAGUACACGUAAAUGAGCUCAUCACUGGUCAGGGAAUGGAGCUGGGAGUGGGGCAGUAGGUAACUAAACAUGGAGCUCACCUCCUCCAACAGAUACAUCAAAAAAUACAUCUAGAUGUGGAACAAUUCUCACGGAACACCUACUGCGCGCUGGCAGGUAAAAGGACCAAAGUUGUAGGACAGAGCUCCAUGUACCCAGGUAAGUAUGAAAGAAUAAAAGAAAAGGAAUUGGGACAGAAUCGGCACCCCUGGGAGGGAGUCGUGAAAGAGAAGGGUUACUUGACCCUGGGAACCCCCUUCACCAGCUGUAAAGUCAACUAGGGCAGAAAGGAAGCUUCAAAGGCUCUGACGAGAGGGCAGCAAUAGAACUGUGGCAGGCAACACGAGAGCUUAGCACGGAUGGUUUAGGCCACCUCCUUGCACUCCCCGGCCUGAGAUGUGUGUCUGCUGGUGCAUGCAGGGGGCUGGAUGUUGAAACUUGGGCUUCAGUGGACAGACCUGAGGAGAGGGCUGGGUACCGCUGCACAGAGACCUCCGGAAGGGGCUGGACUGUAACCUGAGCUACACCCAAGGGUGUGCACAGGGCGGAGCCUGGGUCUGCCAUAGAAACCCCAUGGUUAAGGCACGUAUGAAGGAAGGGCAGGGCACCACCAAGGCAGCCUCAUUCUCAGCAUGUUCGGCUCUGCCUCUACCAGCCCU
Molecule: long non-coding RNA, 3062 nt
Filed under: Sus scrofa (pig)
Lineage: Eukaryota; Metazoa; Chordata; Mammalia; Artiodactyla; Suidae
Description: lncRNA (ENSSSCG00035071818.1)
Source: RNAcentral